GACAGAGGUUGCAAACGUUGUUCGGAAUCACUGGGCAUAAAGCGCACGUAGGCGGCUGACUAAGUCGGAUGUGAAAUCCCUCGGCUUAACCGGGGAACUGCGUCCGAUACUGGUCGGCUUGAGAACGGUAGGGGUGAGCGGAACUCCAGGUGGAGCGGUGAAAUGCGUAGAUAUCUGGAGGAACACCGGUGGCGAAAGCGGCUCACUGGACCGUCACUGACGCUGAGGUGCGAAAGCUAGGGUAGCAAACGGG
This 253-nucleotide ribosomal RNA is filed under the name uncultured bacterium. RNAcentral describes it as "partial 16S ribosomal RNA". It matches the Rfam family "Bacterial small subunit ribosomal RNA", at positions 524 to 776 of the family's 1533-position model. The record is from RNAcentral.